AAGGCGAAGCCAGGCGAGUGGUCCGAUUUGGGCUUCGCGAGGUAAACCUCUCACUGGCAGGGGGCGCUCAGGAGAGGCAGGAAAGAUGUCGCCCAUCUAGGAGAUCAUCUAGGACCUUCCAGACCAGCCAUCCACCUGACCCCACCCACAGGCCACAGAUGCUGAAUCUGCCCAGAAUCCUGACCUGAGAUACAUAAAUGUCCGAGAGAUAUACACAAAUAUAUUUGCCUCUGUUCCAAUCAUGUAAGCUGCAGACACAACUGCUCCUUCAUCCUAAAUACUUGAGCACACAUUCCCCAAGAUCAACUCUACUACUAACUUAAUGCAAUGAUCCCAACCAAAAAGUUAAAGCUGUUACAACACCACUGCUUAAUCCAAAGUCCACAUUCCAGUAUCACCAGUCGUCC
This is a long non-coding RNA of Odocoileus virginianus texanus, 407 nucleotides long. RefSeq lists it as uncharacterized. Lineage: Eukaryota; Metazoa; Chordata; Mammalia; Artiodactyla; Cervidae. The record is from RefSeq and is a predicted model, not a curated record.